RNAcentral lists this ribosomal RNA (496 nucleotides) under uncultured bacterium. RNAcentral's name for it is "bacterial SSU rRNA". It matches the Rfam family "Bacterial small subunit ribosomal RNA", at positions 21 to 507 of the family's 1533-position model. The record is from RNAcentral.
GGCUCAGGAUGAACGCUAGCGGCAGGCUUAAUACAUGCAAGUCGUGGGGCAGCAGGUCCGUAGCAAUACGGAUGGCUGGCGACCGGCAAACGGGUGCGGAACACGUACGCAACUUUCCUUCAAGUGGGGAAUAGCCCAGGGAAACUUGGAUUAAUACCCCUUAACAUUAUGAGAUGGCAUCGUCUUAUAAUUAAAGCUCCGGCGCUUGAAGAUGGGCGUGCGCCUGAUUAGGUAGUUGGCGGGGUAAUGGCCCACCAAGCCUACGAUCAGUAACUGGUGUGAGAGCACGACCAGUCACACGGGCACUGAGACACGGGCCCGACUCCUACGGGAGGCAGCAGUGAGGAAUAUUGGUCAAUGGGCGAGAGCCUGAACCAGCCAAGUCGCGUGGAGGAAGACGGCCCUACGGGUUGUAAACUCCUUUUACCUGGGAAUAACGGGCGCUACGCGUAGCGCUGUGCAUGUACCGGGAGAAUAAGCAUCGGCUAAUUCCGUG